Molecule: long non-coding RNA, 369 nt
Organism: Anolis sagrei ordinatus
Lineage: Eukaryota; Metazoa; Chordata; Lepidosauria; Squamata; Anolidae
Source: RefSeq, a predicted model, not a curated record
GCUCUUUGACAUGAUAGUGAAAAAGAACUGAGAAGUUUAACCAUCCCUCUGUCAUCUGAAGGAGGCCUCUCAUUGGAAUGGACCUGCUGUUCUAAUUUUGACUACAUGGAGGUGUCGCCUAAUAGAAGUGAGAGAAGAUUACAUUUUCAACCACUCCAGGAUGAGGGAGUCAUUGUUCUAAAAACCCACACAAAAUUAAGCAGCACGGAGUACUGAAUUGGAGGCAUUAAUACCUACCACUUUAUUGUGCACCAGUGGAAGCCAUGGCAAAAUGGAGUGGGAAUUGCCCCACUGAGGGGCUUAAAAAUCCAGCUGUUAAUAAACUGAAAAUGGAAUCAUGAUGACUGAUAGCAGUGCAGUGCAAUAACG